GCGAUAGGCUGAAAGAGGAAUCUCCAGGCCUAGGUGAUGGGCCAGCCGUGGUGAUCCUCACCCGUUUGCCUGGGCACCGUUUGGGAAACGUCCCCCUGCUCACCACGGAGAUGAAAGACCAGGUCCCUGGAGGGGCUUCGCGGAAGGAUUUUUCUCCCCAGUAAAGCGGCAGACAAGCCAAGGGUCCGCCGCCCUACGCGCCGUCUGCCUUUGAGCCGCCGCCAGCUCACAUCCUUGAGCAGAAACGUUGCAGGGAGGCAGAAAGCGCCGAGUCUCAUGGAUCGUGCUGAGCGUUGCAUCCACCCAGGACUGCUUACCUUCAGACUUCUGCUCCGGUGGCAGAGCAGCAAACCCCUAUUGUGUAAGCCUUUGUAGAUGGCUGGUGCCACUUGCUGCUGAAAGUGACAGAUAAUCUUUCUAGGAAUAUAACCCCUAAAGCCCUUUAUGGUAACAGAUGCACUUAGAGAAUGUAGUUUUCUUUCUUUUUCUUACUUAAAAAAAAAAAAAAAAAAAAGCUGAAGUCUGCCUCAGGCAAAAAGACAAACUGAAAACAUAUGUAUGCAUAAUUGAAGUGCAAUCAAUAUUCAUUAGAAAAUGAACGAAUGUUCUUCAGGUUACUUUAAUAGUUUUCUCGGGGAAUCUGUUUUUGGAUACGUAUGUCAGCUACAAUAUUUGGCACUUCCAGGAGCUCUGUGUUGAUGUCCUUCCUAGAAGUUGCACUUCUGCGCAUUUUUCUGCGCCUUUGGGGUCUCAGAUGUUCCUGGAAGGAAUCACUUUUCACUCCCCUGGCUUUUCCCUCGAACAGGUAACUUGUAACUUGCUGUUGCCUAUAGAUAUCGAGCAUUUGUCCAAAAAUAUGUUCCUACAAUACCUUCCUGUCUCAGCCAUUCCAUUCACAAGACAGUUUAAACAUUUCUCCAUGCUAUUCCACAGAUCAUUCAUAGAGGAACCAUCUGAACCAUGCAACAAAGUCUAGAAACUUUUAUGACUUUUAACUUCCACGACAAGUUAUCAUGUACUUGGUACCCUCAGCCAGGUACAUGUUAAGCUCAGGUUUCAUGUAUGUUAGCGUGGAGCCAUAUUUCCUUGUGGAUAAACCUAUAGAUUUAUCCCCACCCCCACUUCCCUUCCCAGAAGUAACUGUUGCCUUGACAACAGGGUAAGGACAGCAGUGAUGACGGCUGUGAUAACGAUUAUGAUAAUGAUGGCAGGAGAAACUGUAUGCUGGCCAUUAUCUAAGCACUUUACAUGCAUUAGCUCCUUUAACGCCCAAGGAGGCAUGUGACAGAAAUGCUAUUUUUAUCCCCGUGUUAGAGAUGAGGGCUGAGGAAAGACUGGUGAGGUGCCUUGCCCAAGGCCACACGUCUGGUCCCCAGAGAAGCCAGGCUUCCUACCCAGGCAACCCAGGGGUCCCAUACACUGUCGCUGCCUGAUAGGUAGCAGUGGUGGUGAUACACACUUCCUCUAGGUACAUGCGCAUCCAUAAUAAAGACGCAGUAGACUUAUUUGCAUAUUUUAAAAAGUGUAUGGUUUCAGAACAUUUGUUGUUUUUCCCUGUUAUGAAUCGUGUCGCAGUAAACGUCUCGCCCUACACAACAGCUCACAGCAACGCCGGUUCCUUAACCCACUGAGCAAGCCAGGGACUGAACCCGCAACCUCAUGGUUCCUAGUCGGAUUCGUUAACCACUGCGCCAUGACGGGAACUCUUGCUUGCCUGAUUUUUAGGGAAUUCUGUUAUAUUCCUCUUCUAUAAAACUAGUUGUUUGGGCUGUAAACACCUUAGAGUGGCUACUGACUUUUUUUUUUUCCUUUUUUCUUGUUUGACUUUCUUUUCAUUGUUGUCUUUUUUUGUCUUUUCGUCUUUUCUAAGGCCACCUGCGACAUAUGGAGAUUCCUAGGCUAGGGGUCUAAUCAGAGCUGUAGCCACUGCAGCCACAGCAACUCGGGAUCCAAGCCUUGUCUGUGACCUACACCACAGCUGACAGCAAUGCCGGAUCCUGUACCCACUGAGCGAGGCCAGGGAUCAAACCCGAAACCUCAUGGUUCAUAGUUGGGUUCGUUCCCACUGAGCCAUGACGGGCACUCUCUCUUUUCAUCGUUGCCUUGAUACGCAGAAGUCCUUAGUUUGAUAUAGUUUUAUUCUCAAUAUGAUUUAUGCUUUUGGCCCCUUAAGGAGGAAUGACAGUGCUCAGAUGUCAGCAAGAUGGCCUCGCACGGUUUAUUUUGUCUUUUUUUUUUUUUCUUUUUAGGGUCACAUCUGUGGCAUAUGGAAGUUCCCGGGUUUGAAGGUUGAAUUGGAGCUGCAGCCACAGGCCUACACCACAGCCAUGGCAGCACCGGAUCUGAGCUGCAUCUGCAACCUACGCUGCAGCUUGUGGCAGUGCCAGAUCCUAACCUACUGAGCAAGGCCAGGGAUCAAGCUUGCCUUCUCAGGGACACUGUGUCAGGCUCUUCAGCCCCUGAGCCAUAACGGGAACUCCUUCGUUUUCAAGUUUUGCUUUCAUUUAGAUGAUUUGGGGGUAUGACAGGACGUCGAUACCCAGUCUUACCCUCUUUCAUCCCUGGUUUCCUGGAGAGUAUCUUUUCCGUUACAGCCAGGAUGCAGCCUCAUUCAUUGAUUAUGCUGAUCCUUUGCCCAGCGAUCUGACAGGCCGUCUCUGCGUAUUUCAGAUUUCCUUUUCUAAGUGCUUCUAUUUCGGGUCCCUGCUCCCUGUGACAACAUCACAUUGUUCAAAUUACUACCAUCCCUGUCUAAUCCCCUUCCUUUUUCUUUAGCAUAGUUUUGUCAAGUCCUUUGAAAAACUGUACAGGAAUUUUUUAUUGAAAUUGUAUUGAAUUUAUAGGUAAAUUUGGGGAAAAUUGCAGUCUUUAAAAUAUUGAACUCUCCCGUCCAUGAAUAUAGUAAAUCCUGUAUUUCUUCCCCACUUCCAUCAGCUUUUGUUGCUUUCUCCAUAAAAAUCUGACACACCAUUUGUUAAAUUUAUUUCUUGACACCUUAAAAGCUUUUAUUGUCAUGGUUAAUAAUGUCCUUUAACAAUAACUAUUGAUUUUUGUGUAUUGGUUUCUAGCAAAUUGUGAGCUUUCUUAUUAGCACUCAUAUUUAUUUGUAAUUUCUCCUGGAUAUUCUAUGCAAGCAUAUAUUCUUUGUACUAAUUACGU
RNAcentral lists this long non-coding RNA (3159 nucleotides) under Sus scrofa (pig). RNAcentral describes it as "lncRNA (ENSSSCG00025021421.1)". Lineage: Eukaryota; Metazoa; Chordata; Mammalia; Artiodactyla; Suidae. The record is from RNAcentral.